CACGUAGGGUGCGAGCGUUGUCCGGAAUCAUUGGGCGUAAAGCGCGUGUAGGCGGCCCGAUAAGUCCGCUGUGAAAGUCCAGGGCUCAACCCUGGAAUGCCGGUGGAUACUGUCGGGCUCGAGUCCGGAAGAGGCGAGUGGAAUUCCUGGUGUAGCGGUGAAAUGCGCAGAUAUCAGGAGGAACACCGAUGGCGAAGGCAGCUCGCUGGGACGGUACUGACGCUGAGACGCGAAAGCGUGGGGAGCAAACAGG
RNAcentral lists this ribosomal RNA (253 nucleotides) under uncultured bacterium. RNAcentral's name for it is "partial 16S ribosomal RNA". It matches the Rfam family "Bacterial small subunit ribosomal RNA", at positions 524 to 776 of the family's 1533-position model. The record is from RNAcentral.